RNAcentral lists this ribosomal RNA (255 nucleotides) under uncultured bacterium. RNAcentral's name for it is "partial 16S ribosomal RNA". It matches the Rfam family "Bacterial small subunit ribosomal RNA", at positions 524 to 776 of the family's 1533-position model. The record is from RNAcentral.
UACAGAGGUCCCGAGCGUUGUUCGGAUUCAUUGGGCGUAAAGGGUGCGUAGGCGGCGGGGAAAGUCUGAUGUGAAAUCCGUGGGGCCUCAACCCUGGAACUGCAUUGGAUACUUCCUUGCUAGAGUACUGGAGAGGAAACUGGAAUUUACGGUGUAGCAGUGAAAUGCGUAGAGAUCGUAAGGAAGACCAGUGGCGAAGGCGAGUUUCUGGACAGUUACUGACGCUGAGGCACGAAGGCCAGGGGAGCAAACGGG